CCUACGCGGGGCAGCAGUGAGGAAUAUUGGUCAAUGGACGAGAGUCUGACCCAGCCAAGUAGCGUGAAGGAUGACUGCCCUAUGGGUUGUAAACUUCUUUUAUAUGGGAAUAAAAUGAUCCACGUGUGCGUUUUUGUAUGUACUAUAUGAAUAAGGAUCGGCUCACUCCGUGCCAGCAGCCGCGGUAAUACGGAGGAUCCGAGCGUUAUCCGGAUUUAUUGGGUUUAAAGGGAGCGUAGGUGGGUUGUUAAGUCAGUUGUGAAAGUUUGCGGCUCAACCGUAAAAUUGCAGUUGAAACUGGCAGUCUUGAGUACAGUAGAGGUGGGCGGAAUGCGUGGUGUAGCGGUGAAAUGCUUAGAUAUCACGAAGAACCCCGAUUGCGAAGGCAGCUCACUAAACUGCGACUGACAUUGAGGCUCGAAAGUGUGGGUAUCAAACAGGAUUAGAUACCCGUGUAGUC
This 460-nucleotide ribosomal RNA is filed under the name uncultured bacterium. RNAcentral's name for it is "partial 16S ribosomal RNA". It matches the Rfam family "Bacterial small subunit ribosomal RNA", at positions 338 to 795 of the family's 1533-position model. The record is from RNAcentral.